GGCUGGUCUAAAUGCAGUGGUGUUAACAACAAAUUGGUCACAACCAGUUACAGAUUUCUUUGUUCCUUCUUCAUUCCCACUGCUUCACUUGACUAGCUGUAA
Molecule: Y RNA, 102 nt
Filed under: Carlito syrichta (Philippine tarsier)
Lineage: Eukaryota; Metazoa; Chordata; Mammalia; Primates; Tarsiidae
Description: Y RNA (ENSTSYG00000026159.1)
Rfam family: Y RNA
About the family: Y RNAs are components of the Ro ribonucleoprotein particle (Ro RNP), in association with Ro60 and La proteins. The Y RNAs and Ro60 and La proteins are well conserved, but the function of the Ro RNP is not known.
Source: Rfam by way of RNAcentral